RNAcentral lists this ribosomal RNA (116 nucleotides) under Sinocyclocheilus rhinocerous. Lineage: Eukaryota; Metazoa; Chordata; Actinopteri; Cypriniformes; Cyprinidae. The record is from RNAcentral.
GCCACAGCCAUAUCACCCUACAGCCCAAGACUGGUUGCCCACUGAAGCCAAGCAGGGUUGAGCCUGGACAGUACCUGGAUGGGAGACCUCCUGGGAAAACUAAGUUGCUGCUGGAA